Molecule: ribosomal RNA, 253 nt
Filed under: uncultured bacterium
Lineage: Bacteria
Description: partial 16S ribosomal RNA
Rfam family: Bacterial small subunit ribosomal RNA
Source: RNAcentral
UACGAAGGGGGCGAGCGUUGCUCGGAAUGACUGGGCGUAAAGGGCGCGUAGGCGGCUUACAUAGUUAGGCGUGAAAUUCCUGGGCUUAACCUGGGGACUGUGUCUAAUACAUGUAGGCUUGAGUGUGAAAGAGGGUCGUGGAAUUUCCAGUGUAGAGGUGAAAUUCGUAGAUAUUGGAAAGAACACCGGUGGCGAAGGCGGCGACCUGGUUCAUUACUGACGCUGAGGCGCGAAAGCGUGGGGAGCAAACAGG